This 576-nucleotide small RNA is filed under the name Pan troglodytes (chimpanzee). RNAcentral describes it as "retained intron". Lineage: Eukaryota; Metazoa; Chordata; Mammalia; Primates; Hominidae. The record is from RNAcentral.
GGCGGAGCCGGAUCUGGAGUGCGAGCAGAUCCGUCUGAAGUGUAUUCGUAAGGAGGGCUUCUUCACGGUGCCUCCGGAACACAGGAUCGGGCCCGGGACACCCAGACAGAUGAGAUUGUCGCGCUGAAGAAGGUGCGGAUGGACAAGGAGAAGGAUGGCAUCCCCAUCAGCAGCUUGCGGGAGAUCACGCUGCUGCUCCGCCUGCGUCAUCCGAACAUCGUGGAGCUGAAGGAGGUGGUUGUGGGGAACCACCUGGAGAGUAUCUUCCUGGUGAUGGGUUACUGUGAGCAGGACCUGGCCAGCCUCCUGGAGAAUAUGCCAACACCCUUCUCGGAGGCUCAGGUCAAGUGCAUUGUGCUGCAGGUGCUCCGGGGCCUCCAGUAUCUGCACAGGAACUUCAUUAUCCACAGGUGGGUGACAGCUAGGCAGAGUUGGAAGCACAAAUUCGGCUGAGGCCUGACUGUGCUGCCCCUGUGGAGUUACUAAAAGCUCAAGGGUUCCCAGCUGCAGCAGCCUGCCCGCUGCUCACACUCCAUUUGUGUUUUUUUCUAAAAUAGAGAAGGGGUCUCUCUGUGU